Molecule: long non-coding RNA, 1189 nt
Organism: Oreochromis aureus
Lineage: Eukaryota; Metazoa; Chordata; Actinopteri; Cichliformes; Cichlidae
Exons: 2
Source: RefSeq, a predicted model, not a curated record
ACGAGGACAGGGAAAAUCGAUCCCAAACAUGUGGAAAUUUUCAAGAAACAAGUUGGGUGCUUGAACUUCCCAGAGGACUACCACAGCUAUGAUGGCAAAACAGAACUGUGCCCCGAUGUCAAGGAGAGCACGCAGGAAUAAAGAGGAGGCAACGAGAUCCACAAAGCUGCAUGGAUUAAAAGAAAAUACAGAUGUCACACAGUGGAAAAUUGUGUUCUUAUGUUUUGUUUUGGAUUGGACUGUGUGUUGGUGUAUAGUGUCAAUUUUAGUUGCAUGAUCUUAUUGUAAUAAUUUUUAUUGCAUGAUUUUAUUCCAUAUUUAUACUGUGUUUUGUGUUGUUGUACAGUAUUCUUUUUUUAUUCCACUGUGGAUUGGACAGAUAAUUGCGUGCACCUGUGAGGUGGGGGCGUGCCCCCCCGAGGUGGCCUAUUGGCCGCCAAACUGACUUAAGGGAGAUAGUGAGCGCAAAGACAGGAGAAGAGACACACGGAAAGCGAAGAGCAGGAAACCGAACGUGUGCAGACGAGCGCAUGUAUAGAAGGACCGGCCUGCCUGUGCGGUGUCACGAGACUUCCGGCGAUCGGCCAGCAUAACCCGGCGAUUCAGUUCUGACGGACAGAAUAGCAACAGUGGGAGGCGACGCGUGAAAUCCACAGUAGGGCAGAGGGGACGCCUCUGCCUGCAUCCGUGAGUAUCGCUUUCCCACUGUUGGGCGCUAGGCGUGGUUUUACCGGGGAAGGGUAACAGUGGCUGUGCCGACUACGUUGCUGGCCCGUGUUUGUUGUUUUAGGGCCGGGCUACGAGGGAAGCCGUGUGCGGGUGCGGAGAGUGGCUGGACUGCACGGUCACGCGCCGCCAGGUGGGGAUAGGAGCCUCCUCCCUGGCCUUCUGCUGGCGAGAUUUUCCCAUCCCGGAAGAGGAGCUCCCCUUCUGUCUCUUUCAGCUAAGGAACAUUUGCCCGAGAGUGUGUGUGGUUGGACACUGGGAAUAGAGGACUCUGGGGGGGACGUUUUAUCGUAUAAAAAGGACAUUCAUUUAGCUUUGAUUUUUUUAAUUGUAUUUUAAUCUCUGCCGGCAGGGCUUUUUAGCGGGUUGGGAACAUUUAUUUUUUAUUGUAUAGUGGGGAUUUUAACUCCUACUUGUGAUUCUGGCUGUUCUUCUAAAAAAAUAAAUGGUGUGUUUAAAGCCG